Molecule: ribosomal RNA, 489 nt
Filed under: uncultured Eubacteriales bacterium
Lineage: Bacteria; Bacillati; Bacillota; Clostridia; Eubacteriales
Description: bacterial SSU rRNA
Rfam family: Bacterial small subunit ribosomal RNA
Source: RNAcentral
UCCUGGCUCAGGAUGAACGCUGGCGGCGUGCCUAACACAUGCAAGUCGAACGGGGCGUGCCGAUGGAAACUUUUCGGAGCGGAAAUUGGCGCUGCCUAGUGGCGGACGGGUGAGUAACGCGUGAGCAACCUGCCCUGCACUGGGGGACAACAGCCGGAAACGGCUGCUAAUACCGCAUAGGCGCACAGCCCUGCAUGGGGCGGUGUGGAAAGCAAUACGGUGCAGGAUGGGCUCGCGUCUGAUUAGCUUGUUGGCGGGGCAACGGCCCACCAAGGCGACGAUCAGUAGCCGGCCUGAGAGGGUGGACGGCCACAUUGGGACUGAGACACGGCCCAGACUCCUACGGGAGGCAGCAGUGGGGAUAUUGCACAAUGGGGGAACCCUGAUGCAGCGACGCCGCGUGGGCGAUGGAGUGCUUCGGCAUGUAAAGCCCUAUCAGCAGGGAAGAAAAUGACGGUACCUGACUAAGAAGCCCCGGCUAAAUACGUG